RNAcentral lists this long non-coding RNA (249 nucleotides) under Musa acuminata (dwarf banana). RNAcentral describes it as "long non-coding RNA (MACU_LNC004862)". The record is from RNAcentral. Lineage: Eukaryota; Viridiplantae; Streptophyta; Magnoliopsida; Zingiberales; Musaceae.
UGCCCGCGAGCGGGGAAGAAGAUGGCCCGAUUGCUCCUCACCUUUCUCGAUCGUUCCUUGUCGUCGUGCAUUACGCCCGCGAGAGAGGAUGUGUCGCAGCCACUUGACACCCAAUCGAUCACAAUGACAGGAAGCGGCGAGGAUGCCGGCGGUUGUGCACGGGUGGUCGACGACGCAGGUGAGGCUGCAUUUCUCAUCCGACUUGAACCGGUUCAGUGAAGAAUUGGUUCGGUUCAACUCUGAUUCACU